This 1326-nucleotide ribosomal RNA is filed under the name metagenome. RNAcentral's name for it is "bacterial LSU rRNA". It matches the Rfam family "Bacterial large subunit ribosomal RNA", at positions 1561 to 2925 of the family's 2925-position model. The record is from RNAcentral.
AGUGGAUGGGGAGCAACAAAAGUUGUGUGUGUGUAAAGGUAGUGCCAAAAAAAGCUGAGUUGAUGUUGAACAAAAGAUUCCGGUACCCGAAACCGACACAGGUAGGCAAGUAGAGAAUACUAAGGGGCGCGAGGUAACUCUCUCCAAGGAACUCGGCAAAAUGACCCCGUAACUUCGGGAGAAGGGGUGCCACCGAGAGGUGGUCGCAGUGAAGAGUCCCAGGCGACUGUUUAGCAAAAACAUAGGUCUCUGCAAACUCGAAAGAGGAGGUAUAGGGGCUGACGCCUGCCCAGUGCCGGAAGGUUAAAGAAGUUGGUCAGUCGAAAGAUGAAGCUAGCGACUGAAGCCCCGGUGAACGGCGGCCGUAACUAUAACGGUCCUAAGGUAGCGAAAUUCCUUGUCGGGUAAGUUCCGACCCGCACGAAAGGCGUAACGAUCUGGGAGCUGUCUCGGAGAGAGGCUCGGCGAAAUAGGAUUGUCUGUGAAGAUACGGACUACCUGCAUUUGGACAGAAAGACCCUAUGAAGCUUUACUGUAGCUUGGAAUUGUGUUCGGGCUUGCUGUGCGCAGGAUAGGUGGGAGGCUAUGAAGGUAUGCUUGUGGGUGUACUGGAGCCGUCAGUGAGAUACCACUCUCAGGGGGCUAGAAUUCUAACUAAAGAAAGGACAGUUUCAGGUGGGCAGUUUGACUGGGGCGGUCGCCUCCAAAAAGGUAACGGAGGCGUACAAAGGUUCCUUCAGACUGGUUGGAAAUCAGUCGUAGAGUGCAAAGGCAGAAAGGAGCUUGACUGCGAGAAUUACAGUUCGAGCAGGGUGGAAACACGGUCUUAGUGAUCCGACGGUGCUGUGUGGAAGGGCCGUCGCUCAACGGAUAAAAGUUACUCUAGGAUAACAGGCUGAUCUCCCCCAAGAGUUCACAUCGACGGGGAGGUUUGGCACCUCGAUGUCGGCUCAUCGCAACCUGGGGCGGAAGUACGUCCCAAGGGUUGGGCUGUUCGCCCAUUAAAGCGGUACGUGAGCUGGGUUCAGAACGUCGUGAGGCAGUUCGGUCCAUAUCCGAUGUAGGCGAGAGAAUAUUGAGAGGAGCCUUCCUUAGUACGAGAGGACCGGGAAGGACGCACCGCUGGUGUACCUGUUAUGAUGCCAAUUGUAAACGCAGGGUAGCCAAGUGCGGAGAGGAUAACCGCUGAAAGCAUCUAAGUGGGAAGCCCACCUCAAGAUGAGUAUUCUGUGUUAAGGUCACGGGAAGACGACCCGUAAAUAGGCACGAGGUGGAAGUGCAGUAAUGUAUGAAGCCGAAGUGUACUAAUAGACCGUCAGCUUGAUC